Molecule: ribosomal RNA, 353 nt
Filed under: uncultured Streptococcus sp.
Lineage: Bacteria; Bacillati; Bacillota; Bacilli; Lactobacillales; Streptococcaceae
Description: bacterial SSU rRNA
Rfam family: Bacterial small subunit ribosomal RNA
Source: RNAcentral
AUCGGUGACAGGUGGUGCAUGGUUGUCGUCAGCUCGUGUCGUGAGAUGUUGGGUUAAGUCCGCAACGAGCGCAACCCCUACUUGUUAGUUGCCAUCAUUCAGUUGGGCACUCUAGCGAGGACUGCCGGUAAUAAACCGGAGAAGUGGGGAUGACGUCAAAUCAUCAUGCCCCUUAUGACCUGGGCUACACACGUGCUACAAUGGUUGGUACAACGAGUUGCGAGUCGGUGACGGCGAGCUAAUCUCUUAAAGCCAAUCUCAGUUCGGAUUGUAGGCUGCAACUCGCCUACAUGAAGUCGGAAUCGCUAGUAAUCGCGGAUCAGCACGCCGCGGUGAAUACGUUCCCGGGCCUU